Molecule: ribosomal RNA, 273 nt
Filed under: uncultured bacterium
Lineage: Bacteria
Description: partial 16S ribosomal RNA
Rfam family: Bacterial small subunit ribosomal RNA
Source: RNAcentral
GACGGAGGGUGCUAGCGUUGUUCGGAAUUACUGGGCGUAAAGGGCGCGUAGGCGGCCUGGUCAGUCGGAUGUGAAAGCCCGGGGCUCAACCCCGGAACGGCAUCCGAGACGGCCAGGCUGGAGACCGGGAGAGGAGGGUGGAAUAGCCAGUGUAGAGGUGAAAUUCGUAGAUAUUGGCUGGAACACCGGUGGCGAAAGCGGCUCUCUGGCCCGGGUCUGACGCUGAGGCGCGAAAGCGUGGGGAGCAAACAGGAUUAGAAACCCCCGUAGUCC